AAGGCAUCUGGAGAACAAAACAGUAAGUUGGUGGACUUGAAGCUGAAGAAGCUCCUAGAAGUUCAGCCACAGGUGGCAAAUUCACCCUCCAGUGCUGCCCAGAAAGCUGUAACUGAGAGCUCAGAGCAGGACAUGAAAAGUGGCACAGAAGAUCUCCGGACUGAACGAUUACAAAAAACAACAGAACGUUUUAGAAAUCCUGUUGUGUUCAGCAAAGAUUCUACAGUCAGAAAAACUCAACUUCAGUCUUUCAGCCAAUAUAUUGAGAAUAGACCAGAGAUGAAAAGGCAGAGAUCAAUACAGGAAGAUACAAAGAAAGGAAAUGAGGAGAAGGCAGCGAUAACUGAAACUCAGAGGAAGCCAUCAGAAGAUGAAGUGCUUAAUGUAUAUUAAUUUUUUGUGUGGUUUCAUGAUUGCUGAUAAUUCCAAACUGUAUGUGGAAAUAGUGCCUUUAUUUGUUAAAAUGAGAUGUUAGGUUUUUAAAGAUGUCAAUCUCCAGUGCAUUCAAAGCAGAGUGAGAGGGGUGCACUGUUGAAUUAGUCUGCAGUGUGGUGAUAAUUGUCAGAUAAAAAAAAUGAAUUUU
This 583-nucleotide small RNA is filed under the name Pan troglodytes (chimpanzee). Its description in RNAcentral is "retained intron". The record is from RNAcentral. Lineage: Eukaryota; Metazoa; Chordata; Mammalia; Primates; Hominidae.